GUCACUUCUUGGCUUUUUGGCUAAGAUCAGGUGUCAUCUUUUCUUAUCAGUUUAAUAUCUGGUACACCCUCUAUCUGAGAAUGAUACAUUAAGUGGAUUUUCAGAGCAAGGAGAUGAAAUAGAUGCUUGUUCUGUAUACUCCAUGCAGCAAGCUGGGAUUGCCAUGCUUCCAGGAAAGGUACGCCCCCU
Phyllostomus discolor (pale spear-nosed bat) is the source of this 189-nucleotide small nuclear RNA. RefSeq annotates it as U2 spliceosomal RNA. The transcript has a single exon. The record is from RefSeq and is a predicted model, not a curated record. NCBI's taxonomy places the organism in Eukaryota, Metazoa, Chordata, Mammalia, Chiroptera, Phyllostomidae.